UGGCUGGCCUACCCUUGGGUUGGUGCUGUUCCCCCCCCCCCCGGCUUCCCUCCCAAUGCAUAGCAUAGCAUUACAACUCACCUCUUUCCUCCUCCUCUCUCUCCCUCCUGCCCGCUAUCUCUGCUUUCACUCCCAUAAGGUUGGAGACCACUGACCUUCUCUCUUUCUCCCCCCCAUCCAAAGUUUGAGGCGAACGUUGAGGCAGGAAAAGUGAAUGGGAAUUGUGGUGGUGGCGGCGGCGGUAGCAGCAGUAGCAGGCAGAGGACGUCGAAAGGUCUGCGCCUUCCUCUUAAGAGUCCACCCUGCCGGUUGAGGAGGCGGCGGCUGCUGCUGCUGCUAGAAGAGUCCUUGGGGGCUGCCCCAAUGCUUUUAAGAUUCAACUUCAUUGAAUUGUUUCAGUCUUAGAACUGGGAACCAAAAAAUGUGAAUUGAGAACAUAAUCAUACAGAGUGGGAUUGGACCAAGAUGAAGGAGGUGUGAAAAUUGGAGGGAGAAAUAUCAAUAAUUUAAGAUAUGCAGACGAUACCAUACUACUAGCAGAAAUCAGUAAUGAAUUGAAACAAAUACUGAUGAAAGUUAAAGAGGAAAGCACAAAAGUAGGACUACAGCUGAACGUCAAGAAGACUAAAGUAAUGACAACAGAAGAUUUAUGUAACUUUAAAGUUGACAAUUAGGACACUGAACUUGUCAAGGAUUAUCAAUACCUCAGCACAGUCAUUCACCAAAAUGGAGACAAUAGUUAAGAAAUCAGAAGAAGGCUAGGACUGGGGAGGACAGCUAUUAGAGAACUAGAAAAGGUCCUCAAAUGCAAAGAUGUAUCACUGAACACUAAAGUCAGGAUCAUUCAGACCAUGGUAUUCCCGAUCUCGAAAGUUGGACAGUGAAAACAAUGGAUAAGAGAAAAAUCAACUCUUUUGAAAUGUGGUGUUGGAGGAGAGCUUUGCAGAUACCAUGGACUGCGAACAAGACAAAUAAUUGGGUGUUAGAACAAAUUAAACCAGAAUUAUAAUUAGAAGCUAAAAUGGUGAAACUGAGGUUAUCAUACUUUGCACAGAAGACAUGAUUCACAAGAAAAGACAAUAAUGCUGGGGAAAACAGCAGGGAGUAGAAAAAGAGGAAGACCAAACAAGAGAUGGAUUGAUUCCAUAAAGGAAGCCACAGACCUGAACUUACAAGAUCUGAACAGGGUGGUUCAUGACAGAUGCUCUUGGAGGUCACUGAUUCAUAGGGUCGCCAUAAGUCAUAAUCGACUUGAAGGCACAUAACAACAAAAGCUGCCGCCACACUAAAGGUCGGUUUUCUGUGUUGUGCAGAACGGACCUCCUGAUAAAAUGGUAUCUGCAGGAGGCCCUCACCUGCAGAGCACAGUGAUCGGCUGUGUAUAUAAGGGAUAAGACGGUCUUUCAGGUAUCCUGGUCCCAAGCUGUAUAGGGCUUUGUACACCAAAACUAGAACGUUGAACUUGGCCCGGUAGCAAAUGGGCAGCCAGUGCAAGUUUUUCAGCAGUGGGGUGACAUAUUGGUAAUACUUGCCCCAAUGAGCAGUCUCGCCGCCACAUUUUGCCCCAGCUGCAACUUCCAGACCAACCUCAAGGGCAGCCCCACAUAGAGCACAUUACAGUAAUCCAGCCUGGAGGUUACCAGUGCGUGGACAACAGUGGUCAGGCUAUCCAGGUCCAGAAACGGCCGCAGCUGUUUUACCAGCCAAAGCUGGUAAAAGGCACUCCUAGCCACGGAGGUCACCUGAGCCUCUAGCGACAAAGAUGGAUCCCGGAGCAUCCCCAGACUAUGAACCUGCUCUUUCAGAGGGAGUAGAACCCCAUCCAAAGCAGGCAAUUGACCAAUUAUACGAACUCGGGAACCACCAACCCACAAUUUACAAUAGAUGCUAUUGGAGGUCGCUGAUUCAUAGGGUUUCCAUAAGUCGUAACUGACUUGAAGGCACUUAACAACAAUAUCUCAGAGAGGACGUCAGGUGUCCUGCUCCCCUGGUGCAUUCACUAUAGCUGCCCAAUUUUCCUGCUUUUAAAAGUUUGAUAGAAAUAUCUGUUGGCUGUAUGUACUUUCUUCAGCCGCAAGGUUUUUUUGCCUGUUAGUGAAUUUCUUUACUUUUUAAUGUGGGAGGUAAGAAAUAGGAUCCUGUGCAAGUUUGCUGAGAAUGGAUUGAUCAUUUGCAUGGUUAUUGAGUUCAGUGGGAUUUAUUCCCUGCAAGAGAGCCAGUGUGGUUUAGUGGUUAGAGUGUCGGACUACAACCUGGGAGAUCAGGGUUCAAAUCCCCACACAGCCAUGAAGCUCACUCAGUGACCUUGGGCCAGUCACAGAGGAAGGCAAUGGUAAAGGCUUUCCUCUUCUCCCAGGCAUUUUAGCAUGUGUUUUAUACUGUUUAAAUUUAAAUUGUAUUUUAAAUUGUUUUUAUAAGAUCUGUUUUAAAUUGCAUUUGUUUUAAUGUUUUUAGUUACUGUAUACCGCCGAGAGAGCUUCGGCUAUGGGGCGGUAUAAAAGUAUAAUAAAAUAAAUAAAAUAAAAUAAGUAAAACCACCACUGAAUACGGUUUACCAUGAAAACCCUAUUCAUGUGGUCGCCAUAAGUCGGAAUUGACUUGGAGGCAGUCCAUUUCCAUAAACAUGCUUAAGAUAGGUGAAACUGACCA
Molecule: long non-coding RNA, 2649 nt
Organism: Rhineura floridana
Lineage: Eukaryota; Metazoa; Chordata; Lepidosauria; Squamata; Rhineuridae
Exons: 3
Source: RefSeq, a predicted model, not a curated record